UACGGAGGAUGCGAGCGUUAUCCGGAUUUAUUGGGUUUAAAGGGUGCGUAGGCGGAAUAUCAAGUCAGCGGUAAAAAUUCGGGGCUCAACCCCGUCGUGCCGUUGAAACUGAUGUUCUUGAGUGGGCGAGAAGUAUGCGGAAUGCGUGGUGUAGCGGUGAAAUGCAUAGAUAUCACGCAGAACUCCGAUUGCGAAGGCAGCAUACCGGCGCCCAACUGACGCUGAAGCACGAAAGUGCGGGGAUCGAACAGG
RNAcentral lists this ribosomal RNA (252 nucleotides) under uncultured bacterium. RNAcentral describes it as "partial 16S ribosomal RNA". It matches the Rfam family "Bacterial small subunit ribosomal RNA", at positions 524 to 776 of the family's 1533-position model. The record is from RNAcentral.